This 195-nucleotide unclassified non-coding RNA is filed under the name Vishniacozyma victoriae. Its description in RNAcentral is "partial contains small subunit ribosomal RNA, internal transcribed spacer 1, and 5.8S ribosomal RNA". The record is from RNAcentral. Lineage: Eukaryota; Fungi; Basidiomycota; Tremellomycetes; Tremellales; Bulleribasidiaceae. RNAcentral also lists the same sequence under 1 other name.
UUUCCGUAGGUGAACCUGCGGAAGGAUCAUUAAUAGUGCCCUCUGAUGCAAAUCAUUGGGUUAGAUCUGCUCUCUUCGCAAGAAGAGGGUUUCCAUACACACCGUGAACUGUGGCUUCGGCCAUCACAAACUGUUAGUAAUGAAUGUAAUAUCAUAACAAAAACAAAACUUUUAACAACGGAUCUCUUGGCUCUC